AUGAAAUUCCUUGUGACCCAGUCCUCGCCGCCGGUUCUCGUAGGCCCGUCGGAGCCCACGCAGGCCGGCAACCUGCCUCUCACUUCUUCCGACAAGGCCUGCCUCCAGGUGUCGGUCACGUCGCUCCACAUUUUCGACCGCCCGAUCCACGAGCCGGCUGAGAGCAUACGGCGUGCUCUGUCCCAAGCACUUGUCCACUACUACCCCCUCGCCGGUCGCCUGGCCGUCAGCGGGCAGGACGUCCAGCUCGCGUGCACCGGUGACGGCGUUGCGUUCGUCGCUGCCACGGCGAGCUGCACUCUGGAGGAUGUCAGGUUCUUCGACGCGCCACUGGUGAUCCCUUUGGAUGCCCUUGCCGUCCGGUCCGGCGAGCACGCCCGCAUGUCGGAUUCGGAAUGCCCGCUGCUGAUGAUGCAGGUCACCGAGUUCGCCUGCGGCGGAUACGUCGUCGGGGUGACGUGGAACCAUGCCGUCGCUGACGACUUUGGGUUGGCCCAGUUCCUAGGAGCCGUCGGCGAGCUUGCACGCGGCAUGUCCCCGCCGUCCGUCGUCCCAAUCAGGCACGACGCAUCGCUCCCGGAGAUCCCGCAGCUGAUGGCUGCCCUCGGGCCGUCCCUGGGCUUCAAGUGUAAAAACCGAGGCUGGAAGCGCAUACCAAGGGCAGGAGCGCGGUGCGUGUUAUAUAACCAAGAACAGGCGGCAGGAUUUACAAAGAGGUUAGGUUAG
This 726-nucleotide ribosomal RNA is filed under the name Triticum aestivum (bread wheat). RNAcentral describes it as "partial small subunit ribosomal RNA". Lineage: Eukaryota; Viridiplantae; Streptophyta; Magnoliopsida; Poales; Poaceae. The record is from RNAcentral.